Molecule: long non-coding RNA, 1419 nt
Filed under: Rattus norvegicus (Norway rat)
Lineage: Eukaryota; Metazoa; Chordata; Mammalia; Rodentia; Muridae
Description: long non-coding RNA NONRATT011718
Source: RNAcentral
GCGUCCAAUCCGCCAUCUUACCCCAGAAAGCAAACAUUUUCCCUUCUGAUACAGUGGGGAAGUGGGUAUGUGGAGUGGGGAGAGGAGGAGACUACGAAGAGGACGAGGUAGUAUCAGUGGGACACCAAGUUGCUGCUGGAGAGAUGUUCUCCACAUCCUUCAGUUUCAGAUGCGAGUGCCCUAAUUAGGUUACUAAAGCGAGAAGGCCCACUUCAAGCAGGGUACUCCAUUCCCGGGACAUAGUGCUUGGGUUCUGGACUGCGUUAAAACGGAGAAGUGGCUCCGAGCAGCGGCGCCCAUGGCUGUCUUCCUCCUGACUUCGGAAACAGUAUGACCAGCUGCUUCAGGCUCCUGCUGCCCCGACAUCCCUGCAUGGUGGACUGUGCCCUGGAACUGUGAGCCAAAAUGAACUCUUCCUUUCUUAAAUUGCUUGCGUCAGGGUAGAUUUAUCACACCCAGAAAGCUCUCUUGGGCCUCGUGGGAUCCAGGUGGCUGCAGCAUGGAUCUGAACUGCACUGGUGGCCUACUGGAAAAAGAAGCCCGGAGAAGGAGGAUUAUUCUAAACCAGAGUCAAAAGGACACCCUUCGUGUGUGGUUUGAAAAGAAUCCCAAUCCUGACUUAGCUACCAGGGGACAUCUGGCUAAGAAACUCGGCAUCUCUGAGUCUCAAAUAAUGACUUGGUUUCAGAAGCACAGAAAAAUACGGAAACAAGUAGAGUUUGAAUGUUGCUCUGCGUUAAUUCCUCUUGGACAUGGAUUUUCUAUUCUUUCUGCAUCCAAGUCCCCAACAUGGGUUCCUGCACAUGGCUCGGGGAGCUUCUCAGAAGAGUUUCAGGUUCUUCUUCACAUGGGGAGAAGUACAUCAGUGAGUCAGAUUCAGGAGAAACCUGUCCUUGGGCAUGAAAUCAGUGGAUUUAUUGAAGCCUAGGUAUGCAGAAUUACAGAACAAGUUCAAGUUAGUAUAUGCAUAAACCUCAUGGACACACAAAGGGAGCCAUUAUUUUUAUUCUUAAUUUAUUCUUGAGAUCUGAUCUUGCUGUUAUUCCGGUUGGCCUUGAGCUCCUGCGCUUAAGUCAGUCUCCUGCCUCCGCCUCCUCAAGAGUCAGCACUACAAAUACAUCCAUGUCCACCUUGGUCUCAAUUUUAAUUAUGGUUUAAAAAAAAAUCAUAUAGAAAAGUCACGGUUUCAUUUACCAUCUGUUGUGUUUUUAAUCUGAAGUGUCUCUCACAAGUUCAUGCUUUGAAAUCUUGCCUCUCAGCCGAUGGCGGUUUGAAUCUGUGGAGUUUUUACAUGGGUCCUGACAGGCAGACAUAGGCCAGGGUGAUACCUUGAAAGUUAUACCCAGGGCUGGGGAUUUAGCUCAGUGGUAGAGCGCUUGCCUAGCAAACACAAGGCCCUGGGUACGGUCCCCAGCUCUG